CGACCGGCGCACGGGUGAGUAACACGUAUCCAACCUGCCGUCUACUCUUGGACAGCCUUCUGAAAGGAAGAUUAAUACAAGAUGGCAUCAUGAGUCCGCAUGUUCACAUGAUUAAAGGUAUUCCGGUAGACGAUGGGGAUGCGUUCCAUUAGAUAGUAGGCGGGGUAACGGCCCACCUAGUCUUCGAUGGAUAGGGGUUCUGAGAGGAAGGUCCCCCACAUUGGAACUGGGACACGGUCCAAACUCCUACGGGAGGCAGCAUG
RNAcentral lists this ribosomal RNA (263 nucleotides) under uncultured bacterium. RNAcentral describes it as "partial 16S ribosomal RNA". It matches the Rfam family "Bacterial small subunit ribosomal RNA", at positions 92 to 353 of the family's 1533-position model. The record is from RNAcentral.